This 919-nucleotide long non-coding RNA is filed under the name Olea europaea subsp. europaea. Lineage: Eukaryota; Viridiplantae; Streptophyta; Magnoliopsida; Lamiales; Oleaceae. The record is from RNAcentral.
GACUCAAACAACCACUAUAGAAUUAGCUUAUUUUUCUAAACAUAUGCAUGUACCAAAUUCUUAUAAAUGAAGAUAAAACAAAACAAAACAAAACACCCAGAGGACAUCUCCCAACUCACGCCCAAAUUGAAACCCUCACAAAUGCAAAACGUUCUCCGGCCUCACCAUCUCCGAUCGCACUUCAGACGACGGUACCGUCGCCACUCAAGUAGCACUUCCGUCGUGGGUUUGGCCGUCUCCAGCUUCACCAUUUCCGACCACGCUUGGAACGAAGGUUAUCGUCGCUCCAAGGUCACUUUCGUCCAAGUUUUACCGUCAUCUGAGAUCACCAUCAUCGAUCGGCAACAAAGGUUACGCUUUACAAAUUUCCUAGUUUUGCACAAUUCGAAGUUGUUUUCCUUUUUUUUUUUUGUUUUUUUCCCCCACUAAGCUUAUAUGACUGUUAACCGUGCAGUUUAUUUCCUCAUUAUGCUCUUUUUUUGGGACUAGACUGCCAUUUAUUAUUGAAACCUGCUAUCACUUGUACCUCUAUUUAUUUUCCACUUCGCAGUAGUUUCUUUUCUAUUCAGUUGCUUGGCUAUGCUGAUGUUAGAAAUUUUUUUAUUCCAUCAGUUUUUCAACAUAUGGUUCAACUUAUAUGAUUAAAAAAAAAAAAAAAAAAGAUGCAAAUUCUUGAGUUUUUUUUUUUUUCCCACUGAAGCUUGUCUGGUAGCAAAUGGAAGUUUUAAUCAUGGUAUUGCACGAUCACUCUAUGAAAUUUCAGUUUGAAUUAUGCUGGUUAUUCAAUAUUUAGGUGGUUUCGUUAAGUGUUAUAGUGACAAUAAAUUUAGCUGAGUUAGUGCGAUUUAUUUUUAUUGUAGAAUGGGUGGAAAGAAUACUGAAAUGUCUGUCACAGUCGUAGAACUAAGGCCAUCUCUAG